Molecule: long non-coding RNA, 969 nt
Filed under: Salmo trutta (river trout)
Lineage: Eukaryota; Metazoa; Chordata; Actinopteri; Salmoniformes; Salmonidae
Description: lncRNA (ENSSTUG00000032687.1)
Source: RNAcentral
CCCUGACGUCAUUAGGAUGACUAACAUUAAAUGUAACAUGGGCCGGGCCUCCGCGGUGUUGACGGCAGUGGUGGGAUCCGGGUCUCUGACUGACCAAGCGAGGACUCACAAGCGGCGGUCGAGUCAGGGCCAAAAAUGUCACAUUGCCCACGGUGACGUUUUUCUGGAGGGACUGCGAGUGCAGGUGAGGUGAGGACAAGGACAAGUCCUUCAUCCGUCCAUCAACGUCCGAAGUGUCCCGGUGCCGCCCACUCUCAGGUCACCUCAACCGCGACGGCGGCCGAACAAAUAGGAGUCUCUCGAACCCAGCGUCCCUCAGACUGCCUUCCUUCGCAAAGCAAAUAUUUGAGGCCAUUAUAUCUCAUUUCCCAGGGCUAACCUUCAGUGAAAAGAUCAACGGAAAAGGAGUGAUCGCUCAGAGAGAGACGGACAAAGAGAGAAAGAGAGAAAGAAAGAAAGAAAGAAAGAAAGAGAGAAAGAAAGAAAGAAAGAGAGAGAGAAAGGGGGAGGGUGAAAAAUAGUAACCCUUUCAAAGUGAACUCUGCCUGCUAUUUCUGCUGCGCUGUGGGCAGGAGAACAUCCCAUUUGGGAGUGCUGUUGGCCAGUGGCAACAGGAUUUCCCUGCACCCUGCCCAUUUAUCCAAAUGCCUGUGUAAAUACUAGAUAGAGAUAUCAAUUUGUCUGGGCUCCAACAGUGCCCAAAAAGAGACUAUAAGCUAUCUAUAGCAAGCUCCACAACAAACUUGGCCUAUGUGGUCACAGAAUUGCUACCUAUUUAUUUCCUCAGUAGAGAGAUUCAGGAACUGUGAGUGAGAAUGGGAGCUGCUAUGUCUUUAGUUCUGAAGCAGAAAGCUUACUGAAAAGCUCACACCAGACUUGAAAGGUACAACAAUAAAUCCAGGGGGAACACCUUUCGCCACUAGCUGCAGGAGAAGGCAGCCAUUUUGGGGCUGCUGUUUUGAUGUCUUU